Molecule: long non-coding RNA, 129 nt
Organism: Erigeron canadensis
Lineage: Eukaryota; Viridiplantae; Streptophyta; Magnoliopsida; Asterales; Asteraceae
Exons: 3
Source: RefSeq, a predicted model, not a curated record
GGGACUCAUCUAAAUGAUCUCUUACGGCGCUUCAAGUCCAUAGCGGAAAACAAAAAGGUUUUCACAGAUGAUGAUCUAAUAGCAUUAAUGUCAACCUGAGUUAUAGUGGAGGUGGAUCAUUGGUAAAUG